Molecule: RNase P RNA, 286 nt
Filed under: Candidatus Olsenella excrementavium
Lineage: Bacteria; Bacillati; Actinomycetota; Coriobacteriia; Coriobacteriales; Atopobiaceae
Description: partial RNase P RNA component class A
Rfam family: Bacterial RNase P class A
About the family: Ribonuclease P (RNase P) is a ubiquitous endoribonuclease, found in archaea, bacteria and eukarya as well as chloroplasts and mitochondria. Its best characterised activity is the generation of mature 5'-ends of tRNAs by cleaving the 5'-leader elements of precursor-tRNAs. Cellular RNase Ps are ribonucleoproteins.
Source: RNAcentral
CUAACGGCCGGGCGGGGUAACCCGACGGAAAGCGCCGCAGAAAAGAAGACUCCAACUGGCCGGCCCUCGGGCCGCGCAAAGGGAAAAGCUGAAACGGUGGUGUAAGAGACCACCAGCGCCGCGGCAACGCGACGGCUUGGCAAGCCCCAUCCGGAGCAAACGCAAAUAGGAGCGCCAUGGUGUGGCCCGCACUGCGCUCGGGUUGCGCGCUAGAGGCGGUCGGUGACGACCGUCGUAGAUAAAUGGCCGCCCACGACAGAACCCGGCUUACAGGCCCACCUCGCAC